AUGUCCGCUGGCUCCUCCGCGAUCGUGGCCGACACGGCGCGCGGGCACUACCACCUGAAGAUCGACGGCUACUCGGUCACCAAGUUUGCCCUCCCUAAGGGAGAGUGCCUCAGGUCUCAACCAUUCUCCGUGGGAGGCCGCCGCUGGGUCAUCGAGUACUACCCCAACGGCGACCGACUCGUGGCCGCGAGGUACAUUUCCCUCCACCUCGUCCUCGACGACGUCGUCGCCGGAGAAGUGCGUGCGCAAGUCCAGUUUGGCUUUGAGGCAGACGAGGAGGAAAAUAAGCCUGCGCUCUCCUUUCUCAAGAGGCGGGGACGGAAGCCCGCGCCGUUGAAGCUCGGCAAGGUGGAGGCCCCCGUCCGCCCUGAUGUCUGGGAAUGUCCCAAGUUCGUCAAGAGAAAGGCCCUGGAGAAAUCCAACCAUCUCAAGGACGAGUCCUUCACCAUCAGGUGCGACAUCAUCGUCCUCAACGAGUUCCGCGCCAAGAAGGGGCUGCCGCCGGGCCCCGCUCUCAGAUCCAUCCCCGUGCCCCCGUCCGACCCGGGCCAGCAGCUCGGCGACCUCCUCGCGGCCAAGAAGGGCGCCGACGUGGUCUUCGAGGUCGGCGGCGAGACGUUCCCGGCGCACCGGUGCCUGCUCGCAGCCCGCUCACCAGUCUUGAGCGCGGAGCUCUUCGGCCCGAUGAGGGAGAGCACCGGCGCCGGCACGGUCCGUGUAUCCGACAUGGAGGCGGGUGUGUUCAGGGCGCUGCUCCGCUUCGUGUACACGGACUCGUGGCCGCCGGAGACAGCGGAGGAAGAGGAAUUCGCCAUGGCCCAGCAUCUGCUCGUGCCGGCCGACAAGUGCCGCAUGGAGAGGCUCAAGCUGAUCUGCGAGGACAAGCUGUGCAAGAACAUCGCGGCGGGCACGGCGGCGAGCAUCCUGGCGUUAGCUGAGGUGCACCACUGCCAUGAGCUCAAAGGUGCAUGCUUCCAUUUCCUCAGCUCUCCGAAGAACCUGACGGCAACCAUGGCCGGCGACGACUUCGAGAAUCUGCGCUCAAGCUUCCCUUCUCUUGUCAAGGAGCUGAUUGCCAAGUGCUCGGCCGACACCUAA
RNAcentral lists this ribosomal RNA (1098 nucleotides) under Triticum aestivum (bread wheat). RNAcentral describes it as "partial small subunit ribosomal RNA". The record is from RNAcentral. Lineage: Eukaryota; Viridiplantae; Streptophyta; Magnoliopsida; Poales; Poaceae.